This 19-nucleotide non-coding RNA is filed under the name Alternaria alternata. RNAcentral also lists the same sequence under 11 other names. Lineage: Eukaryota; Fungi; Ascomycota; Dothideomycetes; Pleosporales; Pleosporaceae. The record is from RNAcentral.
UUUGACCUCGGAUCAGGUA